RNAcentral lists this ribosomal RNA (2906 nucleotides) under Escherichia coli. RNAcentral's name for it is "23S ribosomal RNA". It matches the Rfam family "Bacterial large subunit ribosomal RNA". Lineage: Bacteria; Pseudomonadati; Pseudomonadota; Gammaproteobacteria; Enterobacterales; Enterobacteriaceae. The record is from RNAcentral.
GGUUAAGCGACUAAGCGUACACGGUGGAUGCCCUGGCAGUCAGAGGCGAUGAAGGACGUGCUAAUCUGCGAUAAGCGUCGGUAAGGUGAUAUGAACCGUUAUAACCGGCGAUUUCCGAAUGGGGAAACCCAGUGUGUUUCGACACACUAUCAUUAACUGAAUCCAUAGGUUAAUGAGGCGAACCGGGGGAACUGAAACAUCUAAGUACCCCGAGGAAAAGAAAUCAACCGAGAUUCCCCCAGUAGCGGCGAGCGAACGGGGAGCAGCCCAGAGCCUGAAUCAGUGUGUGUGUUAGUGGAAGCGUCUGGAAAGGCGCGCGAUACAGGGUGACAGCCCCGUACACAAAAAUGCACAUGCUGUGAGCUCGAUGAGUAGGGCGGGACACGUGGUAUCCUGUCUGAAUAUGGGGGGACCAUCCUCCAAGGCUAAAUACUCCUGACUGACCGAUAGUGAACCAGUACCGUGAGGGAAAGGCGAAAAGAACCCCGGCGAGGGGAGUGAAAAAGAACCUGAAACCGUGUACGUACAAGCAGUGGGAGCACGCUUAGGCGUGUGACUGCGUACCUUUUGUAUAAUGGGUCAGCGACUUAUAUUCUGUAGCAAGGUUAACCGAAUAGGGGAGCCGAAGGGAAACCGAGUCUUAACUGGGCGUUAAGUUGCAGGGUAUAGACCCGAAACCCGGUGAUCUAGCCAUGGGCAGGUUGAAGGUUGGGUAACACUAACUGGAGGACCGAACCGACUAAUGUUGAAAAAUUAGCGGAUGACUUGUGGCUGGGGGUGAAAGGCCAAUCAAACCGGGAGAUAGCUGGUUCUCCCCGAAAGCUAUUUAGGUAGCGCCUCGUGAAUUCAUCUCCGGGGGUAGAGCACUGUUUCGGCAAGGGGGUCAUCCCGACUUACCAACCCGAUGCAAACUGCGAAUACCGGAGAAUGUUAUCACGGGAGACACACGGCGGGUGCUAACGUCCGUCGUGAAGAGGGAAACAACCCAGACCGCCAGCUAAGGUCCCAAAGUCAUGGUUAAGUGGGAAACGAUGUGGGAAGGCCCAGACAGCCAGGAUGUUGGCUUAGAAGCAGCCAUCAUUUAAAGAAAGCGUAAUAGCUCACUGGUCGAGUCGGCCUGCGCGGAAGAUGUAACGGGGCUAAACCAUGCACCGAAGCUGCGGCAGCGACGCUGAUGCGUUGUUGGGUAGGGGAGCGUUCUGUAAGCCUGCGAAGGUGUGCUGUGAGGCAUGCUGGAGGUAUCAGAAGUGCGAAUGCUGACAUAAGUAACGAUAAAGCGGGUGAAAAGCCCGCUCGCCGGAAGACCAAGGGUUCCUGUCCAACGUUAAUCGGGGCAGGGUGAGUCGACCCCUAAGGCGAGGCCGAAAGGCGUAGUCGAUGGGAAACAGGUUAAUAUUCCUGUACUUGGUGUUACUGCGAAGGGGGGACGGAGAAGGCUAUGUUGGCCGGGCGACGGUUGUCCCGGUUUAAGCGUGUAGGCUGGUUUUCCAGGCAAAUCCGGAAAAUCAAGGCUGAGGCGUGAUGACGAGGCACUACGGUGCUGAAGCAACAAAUGCCCUGCUUCCAGGAAAAGCCUCUAAGCAUCAGGUAACAUCAAAUCGUACCCCAAACCGACACAGGUGGUCAGGUAGAGAAUACCAAGGCGCUUGAGAGAACUCGGGUGAAGGAACUAGGCAAAAUGGUGCCGUAACUUCGGGAGAAGGCACGCUGAUAUGUAGGUGAAGUCCCUCGCGGAUGGAGCUGAAAUCAGUCGAAGAUACCAGCUGGCUGCAACUGUUUAUUAAAAACACAGCACUGUGCAAACACGAAAGUGGACGUAUACGGUGUGACGCCUGCCCGGUGCCGGAAGGUUAAUUGAUGGGGUUAGCCGCAAGGCGAAGCUCUUGAUCGAAGCCCCGGUAAACGGCGGCCGUAACUAUAACGGUCCUAAGGUAGCGAAAUUCCUUGUCGGGUAAGUUCCGACCUGCACGAAUGGCGUAAUGAUGGCCAGGCUGUCUCCACCCGAGACUCAGUGAAAUUGAACUCGCUGUGAAGAUGCAGUGUACCCGCGGCAAGACGGAAAGACCCCGUGAACCUUUACUAUAGCUUGACACUGAACAUUGAGCCUUGAUGUGUAGGAUAGGUGGGAGGCUUAGAAGUGUGGACGCCAGUCUGCAUGGAGCCGACCUUGAAAUACCACCCUUUAAUGUUUGAUGUUCUAACGUGGACCCGUAAUCCGGGUUGCGGACAGUGUCUGGUGGGUAGUUUGACUGGGGCGGUCUCCUCCUAAAGAGUAACGGAGGAGCACGAAGGUUGGCUAAUCCUGGUCGGACAUCAGGAGGUUAGUGCAAUGGCAUAAGCCAGCUUGACUGCGAGCGUGACGGCGCGAGCAGGUGCGAAAGCAGGUCAUAGUGAUCCGGUGGUUCUGAAUGGAAGGGCCAUCGCUCAACGGAUAAAAGGUACUCCGGGGAUAACAGGCUGAUACCGCCCAAGAGUUCAUAUCGACGGCGGUGUUUGGCACCUCGAUGUCGGCUCAUCACAUCCUGGGGCUGAAGUAGGUCCCAAGGGUAUGGCUGUUCGCCAUUUAAAGUGGUACGCGAGCUGGGUUUAGAACGUCGUGAGACAGUUCGGUCCCUAUCUGCCGUGGGCGCUGGAGAACUGAGGGGGGCUGCUCCUAGUACGAGAGGACCGGAGUGGACGCAUCACUGGUGUUCGGGUUGUCAUGCCAAUGGCACUGCCCGGUAGCUAAAUGCGGAAGAGAUAAGUGCUGAAAGCAUCUAAGCACGAAACUUGCCCCGAGAUGAGUUCUCCCUGACCCUUUAAGGGUCCUGAAGGAACGUUGAAGACGACGACGUUGAUAGGCCGGGUGUGUAAGCGCAGCGAUGCGUUGAGCUAACCGGUACUAAUGAACCGUGAGGCUUAACCUU